AAGUCGUAACAAGGUUUCCGUAGGUGAACCUGGAAGGAUCAUUAACACGUAUCCAAACGUUAAAACCCCCCCCGUGAACCUUCAUCCUGCUCUUGUAACCCGCGUAGUUCGCAAUCUCUGAUAAGAAAGACCGUACACUCGGGCAGGAGCUUUGCCAAAGGGUCCCCAUGCCCCCUAAUAACCCCACAGUUUAAUGUGAAGCUCAAUGUAAUACAUUGGGUAAAAAAACCGAACAACUGUUAACAAUGGAUAUCUUGGUUCUC
Molecule: unclassified non-coding RNA, 263 nt
Filed under: fungal sp.
Lineage: Eukaryota; Fungi
Description: partial internal transcribed spacer region
Source: RNAcentral